This 789-nucleotide long non-coding RNA is filed under the name Polistes fuscatus (common paper wasp). RNAcentral describes it as "uncharacterized LOC122520405, transcript variant X1". The record is from RNAcentral. Lineage: Eukaryota; Metazoa; Arthropoda; Insecta; Hymenoptera; Vespidae.
UUGGCGCGCUAAGUAUGAUCCGCGCGCCUCUAUGAUGGUAUAUAAGCAAAGAAAAGUGAGAACGUAUAUAGGUUAGAAAUUUCGUUAAAUAAAGAUACAUUAGUAAUUGUUAUUAUCCGUACGGGUGAUGAACGAAUAGUGUUGUGAAAGAAGGACAAAUAACUGACGUUAUCAUCGUCGUUUCUCUUAUUUUACAUUUUUGUAAUUUUUAUCAUUUGUGAAUAUUAGUAAUAAAAGUCUUUUUUGAAGUUAAUGUGGAGUGAUAACAAAUUUAGGUUGAAAAUGGAAAAAUUAGAUAACAAGUUGUGCAAUUUUUUAUGUCCAACCAUACGAUGAUAAUUUUUUAUUUAAAUCUAAGAAUACUGAUGAAUUAAAACGUUCUCUUUAUCUUGAUAUUAUAACGGACAAUAGUGUGUGGCUCUACAUUUUUUGUUCCAAUCAAGGACUGUAACACAUCCAAGAAAAAGAUUCUAUUCCAACAUCGGAUUUAUGCAUAUAAAUUUCAUUUUCCAAUGGUUAACGAUAUAAAGAAAUCUUUUAACUAAUGUCUCCUUCGUAAAGAUCGCAUGUUAAUUAUUAUGUAAAUAGAAUCCAACCACAGUUACAAGGAAUAGGCAAGACAUGAAUCUGUUAAAAGAUAAUCAACCAUUUUACUGGAAGGGGAACGCAUUAUUUUCAACAACGAUAAGAAGAAGCCGAUGAUACAAAAAUCAUGAAAGAUUUGGGAAGACACCGUCUUCUUUUUAUUCACUCUGGGAAGAAACCAUGUGCAUUAAUAUUCCAUCAAAA